GAUGAAGAACGUAGCGAAAUGCGAUAAGUAAUGUGAAUUGCAGAAUUCAGUGAAUCAUCGAUUCUUUGAACGCACAUUGCGCCCGUCAGUAUUCUGGCGGGCAUGCCUGUUCGAGCGUCAUUACGCCCCUCAAGUCCCCUGUGGACUUGGUGUUGGGGAUCGGCGAGGCUGGUUUUCCAGCACAGCCGUCCCUUAAAUUAAUUGGCGGUCUCGCCGUGGCCCUCCUCUGCGCAGUAGUAAAACACUCGCAACAGGAGCCCGGCGCGGUCCACUGCCGUAAAACCCCCCAACUUUUUAUAGUUGACCUCGAAUCAGGUAGGACUACCCGCUGAACUUAAGCAUAUCAAUAAGCGGAGGA
RNAcentral lists this unclassified non-coding RNA (358 nucleotides) under soil metagenome. RNAcentral's name for it is "partial contains 5.8S ribosomal RNA, internal transcribed spacer 2, and large subunit ribosomal RNA". The stretch from base 1 to 120 matches the Rfam family "5.8S ribosomal RNA", at positions 35 to 154 of the family's 154-position model. The record is from RNAcentral.